UACGAAGGGGGCGAGCGUUGUUCGGAUUUACUGGGCGUAAAGGGCGCGUAGGCGGCCCUCCUUGUCGCGUGUGAAAGCCCCGGGCUCAACCUGGGAACGGCGCGCGAGACGGGGGGGCUGGAGUUCGGGAGAGGAGAGUGGAAUUCCCAGUGUAGAGGUGAAAUUCGUAGAUAUUGGGAAGAACACCGGUGGCGAAGGCGGCUCUCUGGACCGAGACUGACGCUGAGGCGCGAAAGCGUGGGGAGCAAACAGG
Molecule: ribosomal RNA, 253 nt
Filed under: uncultured bacterium
Lineage: Bacteria
Description: partial 16S ribosomal RNA
Rfam family: Bacterial small subunit ribosomal RNA
Source: RNAcentral